UGCAGUCGAGCGGACCUUUCGGGGUCAGCGGCGGACGGGUGAGUAACGCGUGGGAACGUGCCUUCCGGUUCGGAAUAACCCUGGGAAACUAGGGCUAAUACCGGAUACGCCCUUAUGGGGAAAGGUUUACUGCCGGAAGAUCGGCCCGCGUCUGAUUAGCUAGUUGGUGGGGUAACGGCCUACCAAGGCGACGAUCAGUAGCUGGUCUGAGAGGAUGAUCAGCCACACUGGGACUGAGACACGGCCCAGACUCCUACGGGAGGCAGCAGUGGGGAAUAUUGGACAAUGGGCGCAAGCCUGAUCCAGCCAUGCCGCGUGAGUGAUGAAGGCCUUAGGGUUGUAAAGCUCUUUUAUCCGGGACGAUAAUGACGGUACCGGAGGAAUAAGCCCCGGCUAACUUCGUGCCAGCAGCCGCGGUAAUACGAAGGGGGCUAGCGUUGCUCGGAAUCACUGGGCGUAAAGGGCGCGUAGGCGGCGUUUUAAGUCGGGGGUGAAAGCCUGUGGCUCAACCACAGAAUGGCCUUCGAUACUGGGACGCUUGAGUAUGGUAGAGGUUGGUGGAACUGCGAGUGUAGAGGUGAAAUUCRUAGAUAUUCGCAAGAACACCGGUGGCGAAGGCGGCCAACUGGACCAUUACUGACGCUGAGGCGCGAAAGCGUGGGGAGCAAACAGGAUUAGAUA
This 681-nucleotide ribosomal RNA is filed under the name Methylobacterium fujisawaense. Its description in RNAcentral is "bacterial SSU rRNA". Lineage: Bacteria; Pseudomonadati; Pseudomonadota; Alphaproteobacteria; Hyphomicrobiales; Methylobacteriaceae. The record is from RNAcentral.